AUGAACGCUGGCGGCGUGCCUAAUACAUGCAAGUCGAGCGAACAGACGAGGAGCUUGCUCCUCUGACGUUAGCGGCGGACGGGUUAGUAACCCGUGGAUAACCUACCUAUAAGACUGGGAUAACUUCGGGAAACCGGAGCUAAUACCGGAUAAUAUAUUUAACCGCAUGGUUCCAUAGUUAAAGACGGUUUUGCUUUCACUUAUAGAUGGAUCCGCGCCGCAUUAGCUAGUUGGUAAGGUAACGGCUUACCAAGGCGACGAUGCGUAGCCGACCUGAGAGGGUGAUCGGCCACACUGGAACUGAGACACGGUCCAGACUCCUACGGGAGGCAGCAGUAGGGAAUCUUCCGCAAUGGGCGAAAGCCUGACGGAGCAACGCCGCGUGAGUGAUGAAGGUCUUCGGAUCGUAAAACUCUGUUAUUAGGGAAGAACAAAUGUGUAAGUAACUAUGCACGUCUUGACGGUACCUAAUCAGAAAGCCACGGCUAACUACGUG
This 496-nucleotide ribosomal RNA is filed under the name uncultured bacterium. RNAcentral describes it as "partial 16S ribosomal RNA". It matches the Rfam family "Bacterial small subunit ribosomal RNA", at positions 29 to 507 of the family's 1533-position model. The record is from RNAcentral.